This 508-nucleotide ribosomal RNA is filed under the name uncultured bacterium. Its description in RNAcentral is "bacterial SSU rRNA". It matches the Rfam family "Bacterial small subunit ribosomal RNA", at positions 49 to 552 of the family's 1533-position model. The record is from RNAcentral.
UAACACAUGCAAGUCGAACGAAGCACCUUAUUUGAAUUUCUUCGGGAAGGAAGAUAAUGAGACUGAGUGGCGGACGGGUGAGUAACGCGUGGAUAACCUGCCUCAUACAGGGGGACAACAGUUGGAAACGACUGCUAAUACCGCAUAAGCGCACAGCAUCGCAUGAUGUAGUGUGAAAAACUCCGGUGGUAUGAGAUGGAUCCGCGUCUGAUUAGGUAGUUGGUGAGGUAACGGCCCACCAAGCCGACGAUCAGUAGCCGACCUGAGAGGGUGACCGGCCACAUUGGGACUGAGACACGGCCCAAACUCCUACGGGAGGCAGCAGUGGGGAAUAUUGGACAAUGGGGGAAACCCUGAUCCAGCGACGCCGCGUGAGUGAAGAAAAUAUUUCGGUAUGUAAAGCUCUAUCAGCAAGGGAAGAAAAAUGACGGUACCUGACUAAGAAGCCCCGGCUAACUACGUGCCAGCAGCCGCGGUAAUACGUAGGGGGCAAGCGUUAUCCGGAUUU